CCCUUAGAUGUUCUGGGCUGCACGCGCGCUACACUGAUGCGUUCAACAAGUUGGACCUUGUCCGAGAGGAAAUCGGGGGAAUCUUUUGAAAACGUAUCGUGAUGGGGAUAGAUUAUUGCAAUUAUUAGUCUUGAACGAGGAAUUCCUAGUAAGCACAAGUCAUCAGCUUGUGUUGAUUACGUCCCUGCCCUUUGUACACACCGCCCGUCGCUCCUACCGAUUGAAUGUUCCGGUGAGCUCUUCGGACUGCGCGGUCUGCAGUUUCUGCGUUCCGUGCGGAAAGUUGCGCAAACCUUAACAUUUAGAGGAAGGAGAAGUCGUAACA
RNAcentral lists this ribosomal RNA (325 nucleotides) under uncultured eukaryote. Its description in RNAcentral is "partial 18S ribosomal RNA". It matches the Rfam family "Eukaryotic small subunit ribosomal RNA", at positions 1470 to 1796 of the family's 1831-position model. The record is from RNAcentral.